This 3737-nucleotide long non-coding RNA is filed under the name Nicotiana benthamiana. RNAcentral describes it as "long non-coding RNA (NBEN_LNC018717)". Lineage: Eukaryota; Viridiplantae; Streptophyta; Magnoliopsida; Solanales; Solanaceae. The record is from RNAcentral.
UACGAUCUAACAGCUAGGAACUCGGGGGUCCUUACUAUAUAUCUCUCCAAACCUCACCCCACCCCCCAAAUCCAUCCCUUCUCUAACCCCUCGCGACCGGAACCCUAGCACCACUCCACCUCCGCCGCUCCUCCAUUCAACGCCGCCGCCGGCUGCGAGACACCAAUGACCCUCAAAUUUACGCCAAAUCUUCCCCGUCACCUCCCCUUUCCAAAUCCAUGCUUGGUCUCUCUCAAAUCCCCACCAGUCUUCUUGAAUAUUCAAUUGAAUAGCUGGCUGCUCCGCCGUGCACGGCGACGACGACUCAAACUACCCCAAUGGCAACCAAAAUCACAACCUGAAUUCCUCUGCAUCUCCCCAUUCCCAGUCCAUAACAUGUUUCCUUCGAAUAAACUUAGAGCUCUUCGAAUCUGUGUUCAAAGUCAUGAACCCUAACACCGCCCAAAAUUCCGGCGGUGGUGGAACCAUCGUCAACCAGUGCCAAAAGCAUACCCCUGAACCUCUUCUUUUUCAUUUUUCCAAAUCUCAACAGAGUUCCUAGCAAAUCCCCCUCGAUCUAUCAAAAUCCCAAAUCUCAUUUCGGAACCCUAGGAUAUAAAAUCACCACAUCUUUGAUUUCGUUGGUAUGCAUGGCCUUGGAGCUUUGUUUAUCUCGAGUUUGGAGUUCUAAUUCAUCCCGGAUUAAUGUUGUCAUUUGUACUUGACAAAGAAAAAAUGAAUAACAUUAAUCACGUUAAAUCUGUAUGGGUUCGUAGUUUAAGUUGGUAAGUCUUCUCAAUUUUCCCUUUUCUUUUCAAUUUCGUGCUGUUUCGCUUGCAUAUUUCUCUUUACUAUUUCAUUUGUUUUUCUAAUGCUUGUUCUCUGAGUGAAGAGAAAUGUAAGUCUCCAAUCUAAUUUUCCCUCAUGAUAAAGGCAGUGAUCAUAGUUGUGUCGUGGGUUCUCAAUUUUUCCCCUUCAUUGUUUAUAUUUAUUUUGAACAAUACUAUCUGUUUCUUUCUUUUGAUUAUACCACUGUGCUUUUGAUAAUUAGCUUCAAUUAGAUUUGCAUUAAUUUGUUAAUUUAGUUCUGAAUUGGUUUCAUUUUAGCUUAACAAGGAGGUCAUUUGUUAGUUUAGAUUUUGGGCUUUAAAAGUGGUUCAUUUGUUUAUCUGUUCUAUUUGUCACUGGUUUGCUAAUUGGGUUCCUGAAUGAUGUUGGGCCAUAAGUUCAGUUCUGGCCUGCUCAUUUGGGAUUCGUCUCUUGGGUCGGCUUUGAUCCAUAACUAUUUGAGCAUGAGGUAAAAAUCAGGAAGUUCAAAGGGUAAUUUCAGGGCACUUUGGGGGUAGUUUAGGAAAUAGGACACAUGGAAACGUUUUGUUACUGAUUUGGAAGUUUCUAAUGAGGGGUUCCAUGUGAAUUUCAGAUUUUGUUAGAGUAUAACUUGAGUAGCAAGCCAAUAAGUGAGGGACUUUUAAUCUAAAAAAGGAAUUAAAAGGGGACUCAAAUGCAAACUUAAAAAUCUGAGAUGCCCUACUUUGUGGCAUAUAGAGAGAUCAUUCCUUGCCUUUGAAGAGAGAGAUUCUUGGUUUUAGAUAGCUAAAAAAAUUGAAAAAUGCCAGGCGGCUACAUCACCAAAUAUCGCUAUUUCAUUGCCUCUGCUUUGAUUUUUUCUCACAUCUGAAGCAUUUUUGGGUUUCACUUAAAGCUAAAGCAUGAUUUGAAUCUAGCUUUAAAUUCUAGGAUUUGUGUUGGGGUGGAAGUUACUGUUUCAUUGGUAUUUAAGUUGAUUUCACUAGUCAUUUGGUUGAAUCUGGGACUUUGCUUGCUGCUGUCAAAUUCUAUUUCGUUUGGUCUACUGCUGCUGUUGCUUGCUUACCAUAAUCACCUCUUUUCUUUCUAUAAUCUCUAGGUACACUCCUUCUAACUAUAUCGUCUGUGGAGUAAAAUUUGAGAAAUACAUUGAUUUGAAGAGUUGAAGCUAUGAUCAAUGUUAGUUUCUCUUUGUUUUUUUUUUUUUUUUUUUAUAUUUAUGCGAUUGAAUCUAAUCCAUGUUGUGCUUCAUUAUAGUAGUAUCUACACUUCUUUCGUUUUAUUAAGUGUGGAUUGGAAUUCGGGAAUGUAUAACUGCUUCAAAAACAUUUUGGAUCUUGUAAUAUGUGACUUUAGAUUGGUACUUUAAUUGCCCGACACUGUUUAGUUUUGCUGCCCCAAUUGUAGAUUUGGAUACAUGGGACACUGAAUAUAGGUCAUGAUGUUGCUCCCCAGUACAUGAUUUGGAACUUGUUUUAAAAAUCUUCUCUGUGGGAAUUCAAUGGAGCAUUCAGGAGAUAAGAAUAUUGUCAAAUGGAACCUGAUUAUGUUCAAUGUUUCGUUUCAAGUGAUGUUGCUUUCCUGGAAAAUAGUUCAUGAAGUCACUAAUUUGUAUUUUUAAGUUUGGUUUCGAGAUUGUCUUUAGAAAUAUUUUAGCAUGAUUCAUUCGAUGUUUGUUGAGUUUAGGUGUUACUAGAGGAUGUUAAUUAGGAAAUUAAACCUGGAUUAGCGAGUUAGAUUGUAUGUUCAUUUAGAAAUGUGCUAGACAAAUCAAGAGGCAUGUUGCUUGUUCUACUUUCAAGUCAUUAAAGGUUCCAGAAUUGAAUAUUGGUUUAGUCAAGUAGCUCACUAAUUAAGCUGAGUAGCAUCAAGCAGGUUGCAUCAUAUCAUUUUCGUAGAAACUUUGAAUUAUCUUGGAUCGUUUAAUUCCAUCAAGGAUUGGGCUCAUCGCUAGCCCAAGUCCGAAGGAGUUUUUUAGUCUCAUAAAGAAAAUCCCCCUUUUCCUUAGGCAGUCAAUUAGACCUUUUUCAGAUUCGGGACAUGCCAUUUAGCGAAUUUUCAUGGCUUCCCGCAAAGUUAAUAACACGUUAGUCGCUUCAGGCGCGUUCUUUAAUAAUUUAUCUUCCUAAUUGUGGGUGCGCAUUUAUUUGACUCAAAUCUAAAUCCCAACAAUAUUAAAAUAUGUCAAAAUUCACGGGUGUAUUUAUGUGACGUGGUUUGAGACGUGUUUUAAUACCAUUGCAAUUCUCUUUAAAAAAUAAUAAAAAAUGGUUAAAAGGUUAAAAUUUGCACAUAGGUAUAAAUGAAUUAAAAUUAUAUAAUAAGACAAAUAUAACAGUUGAGUGUUUGUGCUAGAACAACAAAACUCGGGAGUGCCUAACACCUCCUCCCAAGUUAACAUAAUUCCUUCCCGGAUUUCUGGCUCGCAAACUGUAUACAGAGUCAAAUCUUCCUCGAUUCGGGAUUUAAACCGGUGACUUGGUACACAACUAAUUAUCUCAAGUGACGACUCUAAAAAUCUCUUAAACAAAUAUAUCAUGUUUCGAUUGUCCUUUAAUUGGAAAAACUUCCUUAUCUACGCUUUUUGCCAGGUUGUAGUGUAAAAAAAGAAAGUGUGACAGCUCUGGCGACUCUGCUGGGGACUGAACCCAGAAUCUCCGGUUGAGGGUUCAAGAAUUUGAGCUUUAAAUAAUUGUUGUAUUUGGAUUUAUUUAUUUUAUUUUAUUGCAUGAUAUGCUAAAAGUUGUCUUUACCGCUUUAAUAUUAUUUGGACUGUAUAUAAAUUGAUGCGAAACCCUUCUCUUCUUACCUCUAGGGAUGUGCUCGCUGGUCGAGACUCCCUAUUCUGUUAGUGUCAUACCUGAAAAUAAGAAAGAGGCUCGGACAAGUUACAAAGCCGGAUGUCCUUUUGGUUCUGGUACGUAGCCCCCUCCUCGAGUCGAGUUGUC